GAUGAACGCUAGCUACAGGCUUAACACAUGCAAGUCGUGGGGAAACUACAUCGCAAGCUUGCUUUUGAUGUUCGUCGCCCGGCGGACGGUUGAGUAACGCGUAUCCAACUUUCCCAUCACUUUGGGAUAACCUUACGAAGGUAAGUCUAAUACCCAAUGAUCUCUCUAGAAGACAUCUGAAAGAGAUUAGAGAUUUAUCGUUGAUGGAUGGGGAUGCGUCUGAUUAGCUUGUUGGCGGGGUAACGGCCCACCAAGGCAACGAUCAGUAGGGGAACUGAGAGGGUGAGCGAGCACAUUGAGACUGGGACACGGACCAAACUCCUACGGGAGGCAGCAGUAGGGAAUCGUCCGAAAGGGACGAAAGUGUGAGGGAGAAACGCCGCGUGAGUGAAGAAGGAGAUCGGGUCGUAAGACGCAGUUGGCGGGGAAGAACAAGUGACGUGCGAACAGGGAGGCGCCUUGAAGGUACCCGACCAGAAAGCCACGGCUAACUACGUG
RNAcentral lists this ribosomal RNA (498 nucleotides) under uncultured bacterium. RNAcentral describes it as "partial 16S ribosomal RNA". It matches the Rfam family "Bacterial small subunit ribosomal RNA", at positions 28 to 507 of the family's 1533-position model. The record is from RNAcentral.